Molecule: ribosomal RNA, 886 nt
Filed under: Microbacterium esteraromaticum
Lineage: Bacteria; Bacillati; Actinomycetota; Actinomycetes; Micrococcales; Microbacteriaceae
Description: bacterial SSU rRNA
Rfam family: Bacterial small subunit ribosomal RNA
Source: RNAcentral
ACGAUGAAGCCCAGCUUGCUGGGUGGAUUAGUGGCGAACGGGUGAGUAACACGUGAGCAACCUGCCCCUGACUCUGGGAUAAGCGCUGGAAACGGCGUCUAAUACUGGAUAUGUCCCGUCACCGCAUGGUGUGCGGGUGGAAAGAUUUUUCGGUUGGGGAUGGGCUCGCGGCCUAUCAGCUUGUUGGUGAGGUAAUGGCUCACCAAGGCGUCGACGGGUAGCCGGCCUGAGAGGGUGACCGGCCACACUGGGACUGAGACACGGCCCAGACUCCUACGGGAGGCAGCAGUGGGGAAUAUUGCACAAUGGGCGGAAGCCUGAUGCAGCAACGCCGCGUGAGGGAUGACGGCCUUCGGGUUGUAAACCUCUUUUAGCAGGGAAGAAGCGAGAGUGACGGUACCUGCAGAAAAAGCACCGGCUAACUACGUGCCAGCAGCCGCGGUAAUACGUAGGGUGCAAGCGUUAUCCGGAAUUAUUGGGCGUAAAGAGCUCGUAGGCGGUCUGUCGCGUCUGCUGUGAAAUCCCGAGGCUCAACCUCGGGCUUGCAGUGGGUACGGGCAGACUAGAGUGCGGUAGGGGAGAUUGGAAUUCCUGGUGUAGCGGUGGAAUGCGCAGAUAUCAGGAGGAACACCGAUGGCGAAGGCAGAUCUCUGGGCCGUAACUGACGCUGAGGAGCGAAAGGGUGGGGAGCAAACAGGCUUAGAUACCCUGGUAGUCCACCCCGUAAACGUUGGGAACUAGUUGUGGGGUCCUUUCCACGGAUUCCGUGACGCAGCUAACGCAUUAAGUUCCCCGCCUGGGGAGUACGGCCGCAAGGCUAAAACUCAAAGGAAUUGACGGGGACCCGCACAAGCGGCGGAGCAUGCGGAUUAAUUCGAUGCAACGC